Molecule: long non-coding RNA, 352 nt
Organism: Passer domesticus (house sparrow)
Lineage: Eukaryota; Metazoa; Chordata; Aves; Passeriformes; Passeridae
Exons: 3
Source: RefSeq, a predicted model, not a curated record
AGGUCAGGAUGCAGCAGCAGAAGCAAGGAGGAGAACUCUGAACAUGCAGGCAUGACUAGGUUCAUUUUCUCCACGUCUUUCCGGCCAUGUCCCUCUUCGCUCCUUCCCUCAAAGCCAUUGCCUCCCAUCAGAAUCAGCUCUCCUUCUUCUAACAAUAAUAAAAUGUACAGCAUGGAGAAAGAGAACAAGGACAUUGGCACUGGCUAUGAUAAUGACAGUAGAAAACACCAGGAGCAGAGUUCAGAAGAAAAAUGUUAUAAGGCUUCCUUGCUGUAUUCCAGUGGAGGGGAUAUGAAGAAGGGGUUAUUGGGACCACCUCUGAUCCCCCCCAUAGGCAAGGCAGUAAGUCCCU